This 467-nucleotide ribosomal RNA is filed under the name uncultured bacterium. Its description in RNAcentral is "partial 16S ribosomal RNA". It matches the Rfam family "Bacterial small subunit ribosomal RNA", at positions 28 to 507 of the family's 1533-position model. The record is from RNAcentral.
GAUGAACGCUGGCGGCGUGCUUAACACAUGCAGGUCGAACGGAAAGGCCCAAGCUUGCUUGGGUACUCGAGUGGCGAACGGGUGAGUAACACGUGGGUGAUCUGCCCUGCACUUCGGGAUAAGCCUGGGAAGCUGGGUCUAAUACCGGAUAGGACCACUUCUUGGAUGUUGUGGUGGAAAGUUUUUUCGGUGUGGGAUGAGCUCGCGGCCUAUCAGCUUGUUGGUGGGGUAAUGGCCUACCAAGGCGUCGACGGGUAGCCGGCCUGAGAGGGUGUACGGCCACAUUGGGACUGAGAUACGGCCCAGACUCCUACGGGAGGCAGCAGUGGGGAAUAUUGCACAAUGGGCGCAAGCCUGAUGCAGCGACGCCGCGUGGGGGAUGACGGCCUUCGGGUUGUAAACUCCUUUCGCUAGGGACGAAGCGUUUUGUGACGGUACCUGGAGAAGAAGCACCGGCUAACUACGUG